This 515-nucleotide ribosomal RNA is filed under the name uncultured bacterium. Its description in RNAcentral is "partial 16S ribosomal RNA". It matches the Rfam family "Bacterial small subunit ribosomal RNA", at positions 28 to 523 of the family's 1533-position model. The record is from RNAcentral.
GACGAACGCUGGCGGCGUGCCUAAUACAUGCAAGUCGAGCGAUGAUUAAAGAUAGCUUGCUAUUUUUAUGAAGAGCGGCGAACGGGUGAGUAACGCGUGGGAAAUCUGCCGAGUAGCGGGGGACAACGUUUGGAAACGAACGCUAAUACCGCAUAACAAUGAGAAUCGCAUGAUUCUUAUUUGAAAGAAGCAAUUGCUUCACUACUUGAUGAUCCCGCGUUGUAUUAGCUAGUUGGUAGUGUAAAGGACUACCAAGGCGAUGAUACAUAGCCGACCUGGGAGGGUGAUCGGCCACACUGGGACUGAGACACGGCCCAGACUCCUACGGGAGGCAGCAGUAGGGAAUCUUCGGCAAUGGGGGCAACCCUGACCGAGCAACGCCGCGUGAGUGAAGAAGGUUUUCGGAUCGUAAAACUCUGUUGUUAGAGAAGAACGUUAAGUAGAGUGGAAAAUUACUUAAGUGGCGGUAUCUAACCAGAAAGGGACGGCUAACUACGUGCCAGCAGCCGCCGCUG